UACGAAGGGGGGCUAGCGUUGUUCGGAAUUACUGGGCGUAAAGCGCGCGCAGGCGGCUAUCCAAGUCAGUGGUGAAAGCCCGGAGCUCAACUCCGGAACUGCCAUUGAAACUGUUUAGCUUGAGGAUGAGAGAGGUGAGUGGAAUUCCCAGUGUAGAGGUGAAAUUCGUAGAUAUUGGGAAGAACACCGGUGGCGAAGGCGGCUCACUGGCUCAUUACUGACGCUCAGGCGCGAUAGCGUGGGGAUCAAACAGG
RNAcentral lists this ribosomal RNA (254 nucleotides) under uncultured bacterium. Its description in RNAcentral is "partial 16S ribosomal RNA". It matches the Rfam family "Bacterial small subunit ribosomal RNA", at positions 524 to 776 of the family's 1533-position model. The record is from RNAcentral.